RNAcentral lists this ribosomal RNA (253 nucleotides) under uncultured bacterium. RNAcentral's name for it is "partial 16S ribosomal RNA". It matches the Rfam family "Bacterial small subunit ribosomal RNA", at positions 524 to 776 of the family's 1533-position model. The record is from RNAcentral.
UACGAAGUGUGCAAACGUUGUUCGGAAUUAUUGGGCGUAAAGCGCACGUAGGCGGCCUUGCAAGUCGGAUGUGAAAUCCCUCGGCUUAACCAAGGAAGUGCAUCCGAAACUGCAGUGCUUGAGUACUUAAGAGGAUCGCGGAAUUCCCGGUGUAGAGGUGAAAUUCGUAGAUAUCGGGAGGAACACCAGUGGCGAAGGCGGUUGCCUGGAGCUUUGCUGACGCUGAUGCGCGAAAGCGUGGGGAGCGAACCGG